Molecule: small nucleolar RNA, 96 nt
Organism: Cannabis sativa
Lineage: Eukaryota; Viridiplantae; Streptophyta; Magnoliopsida; Rosales; Cannabaceae
Product: small nucleolar RNA Z122
Exons: 1
Source: RefSeq, a predicted model, not a curated record
UUUGGGAAAUGAGGCCAAGAUUCAAAACAGUGGAUCAGAGUCGCCAGCUAUGUUUGCUUUAUAGUAAAUUUUUUGGCACGUCAGUCUCAUCCCAAA